UCUGAGCUCUCUUAGACACUGCUUCCAGAGGGACAGAGCCAGAGAAAAGACCACCCCCCUGCAGCUUCUAGGCAUCAUUACAAAUGAAGGUCUCAAGGCCACGACCAAUUCCAGCUAUCGAAAUAACUGGCCAUCUACCUCUUGUGCUGGGCCCUUCUCCAAGUUAGCAUUCCAUGUAUAAGACUGGGAGACAUGCCUAGUGGCCAAGCCUUCGUCAGAUGCUGACUUUUUCUCCUCUGUGAUGCCCCUCAGCC
Long non-coding RNA from Fukomys damarensis (Damara mole-rat), 254 nucleotides. RefSeq lists it as uncharacterized. The record is from RefSeq and is a predicted model, not a curated record. The transcript is spliced from 3 exons. NCBI's taxonomy places the organism in Eukaryota, Metazoa, Chordata, Mammalia, Rodentia, Bathyergidae.